CAGGAUGAACGCUGGCGGUAUGCUUUACACAUGCAAGUCGUACGAGAGUUUUUAACUCAAGUGGCGGACGGGUGAGUAACACGUAAGAAUUUGCCUUUAGGAGGGGGACAACAACUGGAAACGGUUGCUAAUACCCCAUAUGCUUUCGAGUGAAAUGGAUUUUUCCGCCUAGAGAGAAGCUUGCGGCUGAUUAGCUUGUUGGUGAGGUAAUGGCUCACCAAGGCGACGAUCAGUAUCUGGUUUGAGAGGACGAUCAGACACACUGGAACUGAGACACGGUCCAGACUCCUACGGGAGGCAGCAGUGGGGAAUUUUCCGCAAUGGGCGAAAGCCUGACGGAGCAAUACCGCGUGAGGGAUGACGGCCUAUGGGUUGUAAACCUCUUUUUUCAGGGAGGAAUCAAAUGACGUGUACCUGAAGAAUAAGCAUCGGCUAACUCCGUGCCAGCAGCCGCGGUAAGACGGAGGAUGCAAGUGUUAUCCGGAAUCACUGGGCGUAAAGCGUCUGUAGGUGGUCCAAUAAGUCAACUGUUAAAUCUUGGGGCUCAACCUCAAAAUCGCAGUCGAAACUAUUAGACUAGAGUAUAGUAGGGGUAAAGGGAAUUUCCAGUGGAGCGGUGAAAUGCGUAGAGAUUGGAAAGAACACCGAUGGCGAAGGCACUUUACUGGGCUAUUACUAACACUCAGAGACGAAAGCUAGGGUAGCAAAUGGGAUUAGAUACCCCAGUAGUCCUAGCCGUAAACAAUGGAUACUAGAUGUUGAACAGACCGACCUGUGCAGUAUCAAAGCUAACGCGUUAAGU
This 802-nucleotide ribosomal RNA is filed under the name uncultured bacterium. RNAcentral's name for it is "bacterial SSU rRNA". It matches the Rfam family "Bacterial small subunit ribosomal RNA", at positions 25 to 865 of the family's 1533-position model. The record is from RNAcentral.